Molecule: ribosomal RNA, 911 nt
Filed under: uncultured bacterium
Lineage: Bacteria
Description: bacterial SSU rRNA
Rfam family: Bacterial small subunit ribosomal RNA
Source: RNAcentral
UAGUUGGUGGGGUAAAGGCCUACCAAGGCGACGAUCAGUAGCGGGUCUGAGAGGAUGAUCCGCCACACUGGGACUGAGACACGGCCCAGACUCCUACGGGAGGCAGCAGUGGGGAAUUUUGGACAAUGGGGGCAACCCUGAUCCAGCCAUUCCGCGUGAGUGAAGAAGGCCUUCGGGUUGUAAAGCUCUUUCAGCUGGAACGAAACGGUACAUCCUAAUACGGUGUGCUAAUGACGGUACCAGCAGAAGAAGCACCGGCUAACUACGUGCCAGCAGCCGCGGUAAUACGUAGGGUGCGAGCGUUAAUCGGAAUUACUGGGCGUAAAGCGUGCGCAGGCGGAUUGUUAAGCAAGAUGUGAAAUCCCCGGGCUUAACCUGGGAAUGGCAUUUUGAACUGGCAGUCUAGAGUGCGUCAGAGGGGGGUGGAAUUCCACGUGUAGCAGUGAAAUGCGUAGAGAUGUGGAGGAACACCAAUGGCGAAGGCAGCCCCCUGGGAUGACACUGACGCUCAUGUACGAAAGCGUGGGUAGCAAACAGGAUUAGAUACCCUGGUAGUCCACGCCCUAAACGAUGUCAACUGGUUGUUGGGGGAGUGAAAUCCCUUAGUAACGAAGCUAACGCGUGAAGUUGACCGCCUGGGGAGUACGGUCGCAAGAUUAAAACUCAAAGGAAUUGACGGGGACCCGCACAAGCGGUGGAUGAUGUGGAUUAAUUCGAUGCAACGCGAAAAACCUUACCUACCCUUAAUGUCCAGAACCCUGCAGAGAUGCGGGGGUGCCCGAAAGGGAAUUGGAACACAGGUGCUGCAUGGCUGUCGUCAGCUCGUGUCGUGAGAUGUUGGGUUAAGUCCCGCAACGAGCGCAACCCUUAUCAUUAGUUGCUACGCAAGGGCACUCUAAUGAGACUGCCGG